UUUAUCUUAUUUUAAAAAUUCACACCAUAACUCAUUUUUUUCCUGUUAUGUGCUAAGAGAAAACCAAAAGUUAUGUCUUUUAAUCUUCUUAAUUCACUUCUCUUUCUCUUCCUCUUUAAGAGUCAUUUAACUUAAUUAACCUCCCCCCUUCCCUUUCUGCCUCACACAUGCCCGUUAUCACAUGUUAUUUCCCUUUCUAUCCAUACAGCCUACCCUUCUAUUAUUCAUACCACCACCGUUCUAAUAUGGAGAAUAUAACAUCCUUUUGUAAUCAUUUUUUCCGUUUUUCGUUCUAUAUGUUUUUCCAGUUUUCCUUUUUGCCUAGAGAAUUGUUACUUUAAAUAUAAUUUUAUUUACCAGUUUCAUAGAGAAUUGUUAUUUUGAAUGUAAUUUUAUUUAUCAGUUUCGUAGCUUUUUACAGUUUUAUUACCUAAAAUAUUCUCACUUUGGCUUCAUUCUAUUUACCAUGUUCUUUAUCUUCUUAGAGUUUUUUGUCUACAACAUUGUUUCUUUGUAUGUAAUUUUAUUGAUCCUUUUUUUCUUUCUUCUUCUAAUUCCAUUAAUAUAUUCUUUAUAUUUCUUUGAUUUGGUGGAUGUAGUUUCAUUUAUCCUUUUUUUUUAUUUCCCGGAGAUUUAUUUAUGUGUUAUUUUUGGCUGAUAAUUAUCAUUUUCAAUUGAUGUUACUCUUUUUUUUGGUUUCAAUCUGUUUUGGGACCUGAGAAUGAAACUUUAUAUCAGCAACAUUCGAACAUUGCAGUGGAGUUUAAUUUUGAGAAGAAAACAGUAGGAAUGGAUCUUAUCCAAGGAGGGAAUUGGCAAGAUGACAUGGCAUGUCCAUAGUGUAGGAAUUCUAUUUAUUUUUUUCUUAUCUUUUGGCAUUUUAUUUUUUAUUUUAACCAUCUAUCUUAUUUUAAAAAUUCACAUCCAUAACUCACAUCUUUUGACUGAGGGUUAUGACAUUUCAAGUCCAUAACCCCCAAUUGUUUAAUAUGUUAUAAAUUGCAUUUUGGAUUAUAACUUUUCGAAUCCAUAACCCCCAUUUGCUUAAUGUAUUAUAAAUUGCAUCUUCCUCCAUUUUUUCCUCCUACUACUUUUAUAUUUAGUAACUUUAUGGAGUGUGUUUGAUUUGCAAUAAGUCUUCUUAGUUAUUAAAACUUUCACUAUUGUGACCAGUUAUGAGUUUGUAAUAGGAUGCACCUGUUGCUCUAAUAGCGUUGACAAAACCUUUUCAGAAGCCAAAAGUAACAUGACUUGCGGAUAAGUAAUAUGAUCUUGCUGAUGUUCAUUAUCCAAUGGCGAUUUAAUUCAUCUAAUGAAAUAAGUUAUUUACAUAUUUGCUUUUAUUGACAAAUUUUUGAAAACUAUAUCUAUUUAUAUUUACAUUUUAACUCACCUGCUUGAUUUUUGGAGUCUUAAAUGGGAUGGUUUAGUGGAGGAUCCUAUAAGCCUAGGUGAUAUUCAUUGCUUUUUUUUUUUUUUCAGAGUAUAGGAUAGAUUGUGCUAUGAUGAUCGAAAAAGAAUGGGGAGGAGGAGGCGGCAGAUUACAGGGUAAGGGAAGAAGACAGAGAAUUGCAUAGAAAGAGAAAGAGAAAAAUUAGAGAGAAAAAUAAAAGCACAGUAAAUAAAAAAGAAUCUAAAUAUGCUGAAUAAAUAAUAAUACAUAGCAAAGGAAAGAAAAUGGAAAUACAAAUGUAAAUGAUCCUAUCAUGAAGUCAAAGAUGUUACCUCCAAGUGAUUCUCCUUUGUUUUCCUCAAAAAUCUCUCUUAAAAGCUUCAAACCUGGAUGAAAAUGAUGAAAGAAUCCCUCAAAUUCGCGAAGGCAACUAUUUAUAUGUUCUGCACAGUGAUUUGCGGUCCCGCAUCUGCGGUCCCGCAUGUCCUACUCCUUAUAUUACUUUUCUAAAGUUGCACAUGAAAUGAACAUAGUAUCUUAAUAUAACAUUAUUGUAUCAAUAAGAUACAUGGUAUAAAAUUGGUUUGACAGUAACAAUAUUUUGGAAUUGAAUUAACCUACUGAUGGUGAUAGCUAAACAAACUCAAAAUAUCUAUUCAAAUCUAAUCAUUAUUUUACGUUUUCGGGCAGAUGACUAACCAAAAAGAAUAAAGGGUUACAAAUAACUAUUGCAGACUAUACAAUAUCCAGCUAAAGAAAUCCAGAAGUUAAACAUUUACAUAUAAUUUUUUUAUUUUUAGAUUAUUCUUAAUGCAUCAUAUCUUAAACUGCUAAUCACCAUCUCUCUUCAGUCAUAACUUAAUAAGCAAUAUACCUGGUCUGCUGUCCCAACAGAAUGGACAUGUCAAUUUUUGUAUCAAACAUUAAAUCUGAAGAGAUUAAUGUUGAAUGAGGAUAUACAACAAGCAAUAAUACUUGAAAGUCUAAUUUAUACAACCCACUAAAAAUUAGUCUUUGGUUUCAAUAUUAAUAUACACAUUCAGUACCCUCAAUAAAGAUUAAUUAGAGUGAAUCUGAGAGCUUCUAACCCAAAACCUUGAAGUGAGGGUGACAUAGUGCACUGCCAAUUCGCCAUUAUGAACUAACAAGGCUUAUCACAAGUUGAAUAAAUAGUAGCUUUUUUUAGUCAUUACCCUAUUAAUGUUUUCAGCUAGCAACAAGAGAAUGUAUCCAUUAUGAAUUAACUAGGUUUAUGUUAUUAACAAAUAAAAUAAAUAAGUAAAAUGACAAGUUACAACAGUUGCAAAAUUUGAAAGAUCAAUAUAGCUUCAAUUGCAACAUCAAAGGAAACAACCCAUACUUUAGAAGACUGACAGUGGAUAAUACCAACAAAACCUUGAAGAACAUGGAAAUUUUAACACUUUCAAGUCAGGAGUUCCCAAAAAAAGAUCAACUUAUCUUAAUAGAAUGAAAUAAAGAAAAAUAUUAACAAGGCAAAAAGAUGAAGAACUUAAAGCAAAUAACAGAGACUUCACAGACCUGUGAUCUAUGCUAAAUUAUAUAUAGGAUAAACAUUGUGUUCAUGAGUACGGACGUUGGUAGCCAGAGAUUAAAGUUUUCUAUUUUUUCCUUAUCAAGGGAGAGCGGAUUACUACAAUAAAUUUUGAAGAUUGUAAUUACAUUGGAAACCAAUAAUCAAUUGAAGUUAUCCAUAACCAAGAAGUUUCAUUCACAGAAAGUGUGUCAUUGUCAAAAAGGGACUUUCUCAAAAUAGGAUAAGUAAUUUGUAAAUCUUAACCAAAAAAGGUAUUGAAUUAAUUGAUUAACGAGUACUGAAAAAUUAUACGAAUAAAAGAGAGCAUUGAUAUUUUACCCGAAUAGUUAAAAAAGUGUCAUUUGCGUGAUCCUAUCUUGCUCGAAAUUAGGGAUUAAACUGAAAUAAGUUGUGACACAAGCCUUUUAGCUUGCUAUCAUGGAAUUCAACCUGAAUAUAUUGUUAAUCAACAACCUAGAAGUACAUAGAACCUUUGUGGGUACCAAACAUCAUCUGAUGAAUACCCCAACUAACAAAACUGUUGACAAAAAAAAUUGUCUCCUUAGAUAAUAGAUAGAUUACACAGUCCUCUUAAAUGGCUAGUAGUAAACCCGACAACGCCCCUGAAAAUUAUAAUAUUAGAAUAAAAUUUAACUAUAUCGUUUAAAAUUAAUUAUACAUGUAUUUGAACAUAACCUCUUUAAACAUAUGAAAAAAAUAAAACAAUAGGCGCUAAUCAAAAGAUUUAUAAAGGCAAAAACAAAGCAGUGAACAUAAGGGGAAAGAACAAAGAUACCUUGGUACCCGAACCCUAGUGACGAAGGCUUUGCCAGACGCCAAUGAUCUAUGAAGCGAUUGCUACUGGGUCUUCCUUGUUUCUGAGGCGCUCACCAAUUUUAGAAGUCAGAUCUGUCCUAUGGUAAAGAUUGUGAUGAGCAAAUAAUUGCAGGGUUAGCCAAAUCGAAGUAUGUAUGAGGUUUGCCGGAGUUUUGUGCAGGUUAGGCCAUCGCUGGAGGGAUUGGGGGUUUGCUGGAGAAGUGUGCUGGUGAAGUUUUCGCUGUUUGAGAUUCACUGUAGGUGCGGGAUUCGACAAAGGAUUGAGGUUCGCCGGUAGGAUCCGUAGCUAUGCGCAUGUGAAACCUUCCCUCGUUGGAGUUUUACGAUAUGUUUUCAUUAUGUUCGAUGCUACUGAAAGAG
RNAcentral lists this long non-coding RNA (4124 nucleotides) under Nicotiana tabacum (common tobacco). RNAcentral describes it as "long non-coding RNA (NTAB_LNC006808)". The record is from RNAcentral. Lineage: Eukaryota; Viridiplantae; Streptophyta; Magnoliopsida; Solanales; Solanaceae.